Molecule: long non-coding RNA, 770 nt
Organism: Corvus hawaiiensis (hawaiian crow)
Lineage: Eukaryota; Metazoa; Chordata; Aves; Passeriformes; Corvidae
Exons: 4
Source: RefSeq, a predicted model, not a curated record
CUUGAUUAUGAUUCACCUUGAAUGUAGUUGAUCAUUAAUUUCUGUAUUACUGGUUUUAGUGUGAAACAUCUGAAAGACAUGGCUCCAAUUUUCUUAACAGCCCCAGUUUUCUGUUCCAGACUUGGCACCACAACCAGAGGCAGCAUUGUAAUCUCCCUAUGGAAGACUUCCACUUGUGGGAACCAGUUCAGAACCACCAGAAAGAAGAAGUAAAGCUUACCCAGCCUGAAAAGAAUAUUCCUGUUUCCAGAAUAAAAUGCAGAAGCUUGUUUCCAGUCUUUCCACUGUCUCCCAUUGUCAGAUAGAGAAGAGGAGGAAGUGAGGACAUGUAAGAGAGAACAACAUGGCAGCAUCAAGGUCAGUGGAGAAGGACAGGGAGGAGGUGCUCCAAGAGUUGAAACCAAAGUUCCUCUGCAGGCUGUGGUGAAGACCAUGGUGAAAAAAACUGUCCCUCUGUAAUCCAUGAAGUCCACAGGAGAUGCAGAGAUCCACUCACAGCCUGUGGGAAAAGUGCUCACGCCAGAGUGGGUGGAUGCCAGAAGAAACUGUGAUCCAGUGGGAGACCAGAAUAAAGAGAGAGGGCCACUGCUUCCAGAAAUAGAGAAGGAGACCCCUUGCUUCCAAACUAGAGCAGCCUAUCCUUAAAGGACUGCAACCUGUGGAGGAGUGACCCACACCACAACAAUUUUGGGAAGACCGUUUAUCCCGUGGGAGGCACCCACAGCAUAAUAAAAGAAAGACUCCUCUCCCUGAGCAAACUGAAAAAGAGC